RNAcentral lists this ribosomal RNA (717 nucleotides) under uncultured bacterium. RNAcentral describes it as "bacterial SSU rRNA". It matches the Rfam family "Bacterial small subunit ribosomal RNA", at positions 99 to 834 of the family's 1533-position model. The record is from RNAcentral.
CGGACGGGUGAGUAACGCGUGGAUAACCUGCCUCACACAGGGGGAUAGCAGUUAGAAAUGACUGCUAAUACCGCAUAAGCGCACAGUCUCGCAUGGGACAGUGUGAAAAACUGAGGUGGUGUGAGAUGGAUCCGCGUCUGAUUAGGCAGUUGGCGGGGCAACGGCCCACCAAACCAACGAUCAGUAGCCGGCCUGAGAGGGUGAACGGCCACAUUGGGACUGAGACACGGCCCAAACUCCUACGGGAGGCAGCAGUGGGGAAUAUUGCACAAUGGGGGAAACCCUGAUGCAGCGACGCCGCGUGAAGGAAGAAGUAUCUCGGUAUGUAAACUUCUAUCAGCAGGGAAGAAAGUGACGGUACCUGACUAAGAAGCCCCGGCUAACUACGUGCCAGCAGCCGCGGUAAUACGUAGGGGGCAAGCGUUAUCCGGAUUUACUGGGUGUAAAGGGAGCGUAAGCGGCGAUGCAAGUCAGAAGUGAAAGCCCGGGGCUCAACUCCGGGACUGCUUUUGAAACUGUAUGGCUAGAUUGCAGGAGAGGCAAGUGGAAUUCCUAGUGUAGCGGUGAAAUGCGUAGAUAUUAGGAGGAACACCAGUGGCGAAGGCGGCUUGCUGGACUGUAAAUGACGCUGAGGCUCGAAAGCGUGGGGAGCAAACAGGAUUAGAUACCCUGGUAGUCCACGCCGUACACGAUGAAUACUAGGUGUCAGGGAGCAAA